Long non-coding RNA from Exaiptasia diaphana, 458 nucleotides. RefSeq lists it as uncharacterized. The transcript is spliced from 2 exons. NCBI's taxonomy places the organism in Eukaryota, Metazoa, Cnidaria, Anthozoa, Actiniaria, Aiptasiidae. The record is from RefSeq and is a predicted model, not a curated record.
GACACAGUUGCAUAGUUUUUCGAAAGRCCCGACAUUAUGGUUUUAAAAAUYCAGCUUACUUUUGUUUUAUUGGCUUUAGUAAGCUUAGUUUGUCAAGCUGCUGUUAUACAUUAUCCGCCGCCAGGCAAAAGAGGAGUAACGYUUUCGUCAAAAAGGAGGAACCUCAACGCUAAAACAGAGUAUAGUAGCUCAAUGCAGCCAGAUGAAACUCUAACAAACAAUGAAUUACUGAUAAGGAAUAACAACAAACCUCCUCAAAAUACUCGACAMUCAAGAUAUCAUGGAGCAAAUUGCAACUAAUUGCAACUUUUAUGAUAUAUAAGCGACCAAUAGUAUAUUUUCUUAGUUCGAUUUAACAAUUGUAUUUCAGUUAAUAUCAUUUCCAACUGAUGUUCUUAUAUAUUUGAAUACAAAUUAUUAACUUAAUAUGCUGUAAUUUCAAUAAAAAUGUAUAUUAU